This 527-nucleotide ribosomal RNA is filed under the name uncultured bacterium. RNAcentral's name for it is "bacterial SSU rRNA". It matches the Rfam family "Bacterial small subunit ribosomal RNA", at positions 355 to 896 of the family's 1533-position model. The record is from RNAcentral.
UGGGGAAUUUUCCGCAAUGGGCGAAAGCCUGACGGAGCAACGCCGCGUGAGGGACGAAGGCCUCUGGGCUGUAAACCUCUUUUCUCAAGGAAGAAGAUAUGACGGUACUUGAGGAAUAAGCCACGGCUAAUUCCGUGCCAGCAGCCGCGGUAAUACGGGAGUGGCAAGCGUUAUCCGGAAUUAUUGGGCGUAAAGCGUCCGCAGGCGGCUUUUCAAGUCUGCUGUUAAAACGUGGAGCUUAACUCCAUCAUGGCAGUGGAAACUGAAAGGCUUGAGUAUGGUAGGGGCAGAGGGAAUUCCCGGUGUAGCGGUGAAAUGCGUAGAUAUCGGGAAGAACACCAGUGGCGAAGGCGCUCUGCUGGGCCAUUACUGACGCUCAUGGACGAAAGCCAGGGGAGCGAAAGGGAUUAGAUACCCCUGUAGUCCUGGCCGUAAACGAUGAACACUAGGUGUCGGGGGAAUCGACCCCUUCGGUGUCGUAGCUAACGCGUUAAGUGUUCCGCCUGGGGAGUACGCACGCAAGUGUG